Molecule: ribosomal RNA, 578 nt
Filed under: uncultured bacterium
Lineage: Bacteria
Description: bacterial SSU rRNA
Rfam family: Bacterial small subunit ribosomal RNA
Source: RNAcentral
AAUCAACGCUGGCGGCGUGCCUAACACAUGCAAGUCGCACGGGAAAGGGACUUCGGUCCUGAGUAAAGUGGCGCACGGGUGAGUAACACGUGAAUCAUCUACCUUCGAGUGGGGAAUAACUGGGAGAAAUCUCAGCUAAUACCGCAUAAUACCUACGGGUCAAAGCAGCAAUGCGCUUGAAGAGGAGUUCGCGGCAGAUUAGUUAGUUGGCGGGGUAAUGGCCCACCAAGACGAUGAUCUGUAUCCGGCCUGAGAGGGCGCACGGACACACUGGAACUGAAACACGGUCCAGACUCCUACGGGAGGCAGCAGUGGGGAAUUUUGCGCAAUGGGGGAAGCCCUGACGCAGCAACGCCGCGUGGAGGAUGAAGUAUCUUGGUACGUAAACUCCUUUCGAUGGGGAAGAUAAUGACGGUACCCAUAGAAGAAGCCCCGGCUAACUUCGUGCCAGCAGCCGCGGUAAUACGAGGGGGGCAAGCGUUGUUCGGAAUUAUUGGGCGUAAAGGGUGCGUAGGCGGCAUGCCAAGUCAGGGGUGAAAGGUUUCGGCCCAACCGGGACAGUGCCUUUGAUACUGGCG